CUAGAGAAAAGAAGAGAUUGUUAGGUACUCACACUUAUCGGUAAUUUAGAUGAAGAUGCGAAGAGCAAGAAGUACACAAAAUGGGUUUGUAGCUCAGGUGGUUAGAGCACACGCUUGAUAAGCGUGGGGUCGUAGGUUCAAGUCCUACCAGACCCACCAGGAUUAGAGAAGCGAAUUCAAGUUGUAAAGCUUACGAGAAGUAAGAAAUACUGGGGGCAUAGCUCAGUUGGUAGAGCACCUGCUUUGCAAGCAGGGGGUCAUCGGUUCGAUCCCGUUUGCCUCCACCAAGAUUAAAUAAAAUGAAAAAUUAGAUUGCAAAUUAAAGCAAGUUUAGAUAAACUGGCGAGCUUACUUUAAUUUGCGAUAUAUUUUUUAUAAGCGAAAGCUGAGAAGAAGUAUAAUUAAACGCAUCGAUCUUUAACAAAUUGGAAAGCCGAAAUCAACAAACAAAGACAAUGUUGUCGAUUUGGUUUGGGAUGCUGAUGCAACAGUAUUUCAGGCAGCCUGCAAAGGCAACAAAUCGAAUAACAAAAUUUGGGUGAUGAUUGUAUCAACUAAUCUUGAAUUCAAAAGGCAAGGUUAGUACACAACAAGCAGUAAGCUUUAUCAAAGUAGAGAAUCUAAGUUAUUUUAGUAGUCAACGCUAAAAUAGCAAAGUCAGAAGGUUCUUCAAAUGAUAGA
RNAcentral lists this transfer RNA (681 nucleotides) under Kingella kingae. Its description in RNAcentral is "16S-23S ribosomal intergenic spacer". The stretch from base 83 to 156 matches the Rfam family "tRNA". Lineage: Bacteria; Pseudomonadati; Pseudomonadota; Betaproteobacteria; Neisseriales; Neisseriaceae. The record is from RNAcentral.